CGCAUCGCUCUCGGUCAACUGUUGGUGCGUGUUGGAAAACACGAACUUCGUGCGUUUCUGGGGCAGACCCUUGCCAUUCAUGGAGCUCGAAAGACGUUGGGAAAACAUUUGUUAAAAAUCAAUGGAGUAUGUUUUCUAAGUUACCGGUAUUCUUUUGCGGGACGUGGACUUCGUGUUUCUGCAGCGGAGGCCGCAGCGUCGAGAUUAACACAUUCCAAGCAAGCACGGAAAGCGUUUAAAAAAAAAAAAAGGUUUGAUAUCAACUGAGGUUUUCCUACAGUCGUCUUGAAAAAAGUGGAACCCAGUGGACUUCAGUUACUGUACUAGCCAGAUAAGGGCAGAACUCUGCAGACUUAAGGAGUGAGCCAGCGAGCUAACAUGCACGAACCUGGUUUGGCUUCACUGUUAUAAAAGUGAGUAGGGGAGUAUCUUUAUUGUGGCCCUAAGUUUUUUCUAAAGUCAGUUUCACCUGUAAAAGAGUAAAACCUGAUAGGUAAAACUAGUACCAUUAACCCCUGUAACUAGUUCACUUACCUUUUUAUUGCUUGGUCGCUUUUCUGUAAAUCUUGUCUUCAUUGUUAUUAUUAACUCCCCCCGACUUGAAAUCGUUUUUAUUGAGGCCUAUUAUUAAUUGUUGGCACACACAAAAUGGUUCAGUAAAGGUGACAUGCUUUACAUUACCCUCUUCUCCACAAGUCAUCGAUUUGGUUUUGUUGUGAUAUGGCCGUAUCAGAUGAACAAGUUGAGAAAAAUAUUUUCCAACCAUCUCUACCGCUUUUAAGCCUUCAACUAGAUCACCCAUAUGCACUGAAUUGCCAUGAAGCUGAAGGACAGGCUCUAGGUCUGCUGUCAGAAACGUCUGUAACAAGUGAAUGGGAGAGUAACACAGAAUCAACUAAUGAAGCAGUUUUCAAAGGGACACAAACUGUAAACAACCUACUCUGCCCUGUUUUCUCACCUACAUUGGAACAUGACAGUUACAUCGAAGAGGUAGUUCCAGUUAAAGUUGUUCAAAGCAGGGAGAUGGUAGAUGUAGUUCAUCUGCCAAAGAUAGGCUCUCGAUUGCUUAAUGUACAUCAAACAACGGCAGUCAACUUUGGUGAAAUUGCAGCUAUUCUAAAAUCAAAUGAGGGUGGAAUCCUUAGUGGUUCAAAAAUAGCCUCCAGCCCGCUUAAGAAACCGUUUAGUACUGUACCUGUACUAAAAGUUUUGAACGCAGGAGGGGAGCCAUUUUUCAUCCUGUCGACGGCACCAAGUAACGGCCCUGUUGAAAGCAAAACCAACACGUCAGAACAAGGUUGUAGCCAGUCUUCAACACUGACAUCAACAAAUCAACCUUCUGUGUACCAGCAGUUUAUCAUGUUCCCGCCCAAUUUGAAAACCUCAAUCAAAACCUGCUCUCCAACCAAAAAGCCCAACGUGAAGAAAACCUGUUCUGUGAGUUACGCGAAGUACAGGGAUCCAUUUCCCAACUGCACAAAUGUAGGACUAGACCUCAACGUGAGGUCUAAAGAAAAACGUGACUUGAAGUUUUUGACAAAUGGAGUUAUGGUUGAGAUUCAAAACUUUGCCAGCAAGAUAACAACGGCUUUCCAGUAUGUUGUAUUUGAUAUUCUAGACCACAACUUUGAUCUUUGUUUGUUAAGUGAGGAACGUUGGAGAUUUGUCAAAGCAGUUAAUAGUAAAUUAAAGCAAAUAAGAAAGAAAUACAACAAAAGGUUAACACUUAAAGUGUUCACACUACCUGAUCUCAAGAAGAAAGUGAAACCCCUUUCUAAAGCAACUUUACUUGCUAAGGCUUCUCAAGACAAAGACUCCUCACUCUCAUUGAGACAGAAACUUGCUAAACAAAAGAGAAAACAAUGCCACAAGCGUAGGUACAUAAGUAAAUAUCAGGUUGCUAAGGAGGAAGAAAAUGCUGUCAAAUUUCAGAAGGCUUAUGAGGCUAUGAACAACUUUCUGAUGACUUGGUUUUAUCAUGACAGGCAGGUGCCUUCUCAGGUCACCAAUAAAAACUCUGCU
This is a long non-coding RNA of Esox lucius (northern pike), 2022 nucleotides long. NCBI's taxonomy places the organism in Eukaryota, Metazoa, Chordata, Actinopteri, Esociformes, Esocidae. The record is from Ensembl.